UACAGAGGUCCCGAGCGUUGUUCGGAUUUAUUGGGCGUAAAGGGUGCGUAGGUGGCUAAGUAAGUUGGAUGUGAAAUCCUGGGGCUCAACCUCAGAAUUGCAUUCAAUAUUGCUUAGCUAGAGAGCUGUAGAGGAGACUGGAAUUUACGGUGUAGCAGUGAAAUGCGUAGAUAUCGUAAGGAACGCCAGUGGCGAAAGCGAGUCUCUGGGCAGCAUCUGACACUGAGGCACGAAGGCCAGGGGAGCAAACGGG
RNAcentral lists this ribosomal RNA (253 nucleotides) under uncultured bacterium. RNAcentral's name for it is "partial 16S ribosomal RNA". It matches the Rfam family "Bacterial small subunit ribosomal RNA", at positions 524 to 776 of the family's 1533-position model. The record is from RNAcentral.